GCAUAUUUCAUGUUUGUGCAUGAAUCUAACAUAUGAUCCUUGGGGUGUGUUAGAUUCACGCACAAACAUGUAAUAUGUCU
This 80-nucleotide microRNA precursor is filed under the name Nicotiana attenuata. Its description in RNAcentral is "pre miRNA MIR403". It matches the Rfam family "MIR403 microRNA precursor family". The record is from Rfam by way of RNAcentral. Lineage: Eukaryota; Viridiplantae; Streptophyta; Magnoliopsida; Solanales; Solanaceae.